This 270-nucleotide ribosomal RNA is filed under the name uncultured soil bacterium. Its description in RNAcentral is "partial 16S ribosomal RNA". It matches the Rfam family "Bacterial small subunit ribosomal RNA", at positions 26 to 281 of the family's 1533-position model. The record is from RNAcentral.
AGAAUCAACGCUGGCGGCGUGCCUAACACAUGCAAGUCGAACGCGAAAGGGGAGCAAUCCCUGAGUAGAGUGGUAAACGGGUGAGUAACACGUGGGUGACCUGCCUUCGAGUGGGGGAUAACGUUCCGAAAGGAACGCUAAUACCGCAUGACAUCCUGCUUUUGGACAAGCGGAGAUCAAAGCUGGGGAUUCGCAAGAACCUAGCGCUUGAGGAGGGGCCCGCGCCUGAUUAGCUAGUUGGUGAGGUAACGGCUCACCAAGGCUACGAUC